Molecule: transfer RNA, 77 nt
Filed under: Lentisphaerota bacterium
Lineage: Bacteria; Pseudomonadati; Lentisphaerota
Also listed under: 1 other name
Description: Lentisphaerae bacterium tRNA-Ala
Rfam family: tRNA
About the family: Transfer RNA (tRNA) molecules are approximately 80 nucleotides in length. Their secondary structure includes four short double-helical elements and three loops (D, anti-codon, and T loops).
Source: RNAcentral
GGGGCUGUAGCUCAGUUGGCUAGAGCGACACGUUCGCAUCGUGUAGGCCGUGGGUUCGACUCCCAUCAGCUCCACCA